Molecule: ribosomal RNA, 254 nt
Filed under: uncultured bacterium
Lineage: Bacteria
Description: partial 16S ribosomal RNA
Rfam family: Bacterial small subunit ribosomal RNA
Source: RNAcentral
CACGUAGGGGGCGAGCGUUGUCCGGAUUUAUUGGGCGUAAAGAGCUCGUAGGCGGCUCAGUAAGUCAGGUGUGAAAACUCCAGGCUCAACCUGGAGACGCCACUUGAUACUGCUGUGGCUAGAGUCCGGUAGGGGAGCAUGGAAUUCCUGGUGUAGCGGUGAAAUGCGCAGAUAUCAGGAGGAACACCAAUGGCGAAGGCAGCUCGCUGGGACGGUAUUGACGCUGAGACGCGAAAGCGUGGGGAGCAAACAGG